GAUUCCUUUAGUAAUGGCGAAUGAACCAGGAAUAGCUCAAAUUUAAAAUCAUUUUUAUAAAUGAAUUGUAGUUUAAAAAUAUAAAUUUAUCAAUUAUAAUAUUAUUAAUUUAAUUGGAAAAUUAAAACAUAGAGGGUUAUAUUCCCGUAUAUAUAAUAAUUAUAAUUUAAUAAUUUUAUAUUAAAGAGUCAGAUUGUUUGGGAUUACAGUCUAAAUUAGGAGGUAAAUUUCUUUUAAAGCUAAAUAUUGGCAAGAGACCGAUAGCGAACAAGUACCGUAAGGGAAAGAUGAAAUAGAACCUUGUAAAGGGGUUUAAAAGAAAGUGAAAUCGUUAAGAGGGAAACAUUUAAACCUCGAAACAAAUUUUUAAAGAUUAAUAUAAUUUUAUAUUAAAAUUUAAAAGUUUAAAUUUCAAUAUAUAUUAUUAUUAUUUAAAAAUUAUUAUAAUAACAAAACUUUAAAAUUUUAUUUUAAAAUUAAAAAUUAUAAUUAAUUAAAUAAUUUUGAUAUAAAAAUCAUUUAUUACAUUUUCAUAUUUUGAAGAAAGAAUAAUAAUUUUUAUAAAUUAAUAUUUUUGAUUUAAAAUACAAAUGCUAUGAUAAUUAAUUGAAUAUAGAGAUUUAAAUGACCCGUCUUGAAACACGGACCAAGGAGUCUAACAUAUUGGCGAGUACUAUAAUUUUAAAUUAUAAUGCGCAAUGAAAGUAAAUUCAAGGUAGGAGUUUAUGCACUAUCGACCGAUUUCAUCAGGAUUCUUCCUAGAAAUUUGAGUUAGAGCAAAUAUGUUGGGACCCGAAAGAUGGUGAACUAUGCUUGAAUAGGGUGAAGCCAGAGGAAACUCUGGUGGAAGCUCGUAGCGAUUCUGACGUGCAAAUCGAUCGUAAAAUUUGGGUAUAGGGGCGAAAGAC
RNAcentral lists this ribosomal RNA (908 nucleotides) under Neoconidiobolus sinensis. RNAcentral's name for it is "eukaryotic LSU rRNA". It matches the Rfam family "Eukaryotic large subunit ribosomal RNA", at positions 73 to 931 of the family's 3401-position model. Lineage: Eukaryota; Fungi; Entomophthoromycota; Entomophthoromycetes; Entomophthorales; Neoconidiobolaceae. The record is from RNAcentral.